RNA transcript from Papaver somniferum (opium poppy), 2596 nucleotides. It is a transcript of the gene named heat shock 70 kDa protein-like, with no coding region annotated. Lineage: Eukaryota; Viridiplantae; Streptophyta; Magnoliopsida; Ranunculales; Papaveraceae. The record is from RefSeq and is a predicted model, not a curated record. The transcript is spliced from 3 exons.
AAUAUUUCAGUUGAUGUUGUUUGCUUUUGAAGGUAUACUAGCUCAUUCCUAAUUAACCAUAAGAUCCAUAAUAGAAAGUGGAAUAAGAAGACGAGUGAAAUUGAUGUUGAUUGUCAUAAGAGUUGUGAAAUGGUUGUUUGAGGAGUUAAAGCAAUUGAGGGGUACAAUUGGAGUUUAAUGCCAUUGAGAUUAUAAAGUCGGUGUUGGACAGCGAAGCAGUAGUUGGAUUGCAGAUUCAAGUCUUGCAUUUGGGGCAGGUAUCGGAUAAAUGGAUGUGAUUGUGAGGAUAGUUUUAGGGUUAACCAUUUACUUGUUUCUGUUCGACGACUAAUGUUCAAAAAAGAAAAAAAAGGGGGGGGGGACCGCAACGCCUAAACUCGUAAACAAGACCCAUAAAACUUACUCAAAUCACUCUCCCCAUCAAAAACUCCCAAUUCCUCGAACCCUAAAAUAUCACAUUUCUCCUCUCUGUAACCCUUUCUGUUAAUGGCGAAUCUCAACAAUCUCCCCUCAGACAUUUUACUGGAUAUCCUUACUCGUUUACCAGCUGAUAAGAUUGUACAGUGCAAGGUACUAAACAAACGAUGUCUAGAGUUGAUUUUUCAUCGAUCCGUCCCACAAUUGCACUUAUCUCGUCUUCCUGGUCUAGAUUCUGGUAAGUUAAGUUUUCUUGCCUUCAGCCUUGUUCAACAACUUUACCUUAUUGAGUAUGAUGAGUGUUGUAUGAUGAGAAAGGUCAACUUGAUCCUUCCAUUUAGGACAGAAUCUCCUUGUGCAUGUAGGCUUCUUGGUUCGCAUAACGGCUUGGCUUGUUUUUAUGGGAUUCCGAAUGAUGUUGUUUAUUCUGAUGGAAUGCUGAAUGAUGCUCCUCAUUCUUAUUGUAUUUGUAAUCCACUGAAGAAAGAGUAUGUGUGUAUUGCUGAUUAUAUCUCUAGAGGUAGGGACGAUGGUCCAUAUAAAUAUUGGUCAAGCGGAUUUGGUUGUGAUUCUGUAACUGAAAAGUACAAAGUUGUGGAGUUGGUUAAGUCACGGGGAGAUCGUAGUGUUAUAGCUUCAAUAUACAUUGUUGGCAGUAGUGAGGGGUGGAGACAAGUUCAUAAGUUAGAUACUAUGUUUGCCAGUGUUGAAUAUGUUGGAUAUGGAGUCUUCGUGAAUGGAGCUCUCUAUUGGUUGGAUUCACAUGAAGGAGACGUUUUCAUAUUUGAUUUGACUAGGGAAACAUUUCGUGUACUUGUUUCGCGACAUCCUUUGGAAAUAGGAGUUUUGUGGCGUGAUUACAGUAUAGGGGUUUUCGGUGGAUUUUUGUAUCGUGCAACCAGAUACCGCCUAGGCGUCGAUAACUCUGUACAUCAUGACAUGUGGCUGCUAAAGAACACUAUUCCUGGCAUGGAAGGGCACGGAGGAGCCAAACCAUUGGGUUGGAGUCAAGAGUUUAGGGAUCUUAAAAGAAAACCAUUAGCCUACACCAAGAGGCGCAUAUUUUUAGAUAUUGGUCGUAGCUUUAUUGGCAUUUAUUAUGCAGUUGCUAGAACCUCGGAGAAGCUUGUGGAUUUUACUCGAUUUGCUCAAAUAUUCCCUCAUACGAACUCUUUAAUUUCCCUACAAGAUUUAGGAGCAGUAGAUAUACAAAUAAUGGAGUCAGCUGAUGAAGAACACAAGAAGAAAAUUGAGUCGAAGAAUGGUCUGGAGAAUUAUGCUUACAACAUGAGAAAUACAAUCAAGGAUGAGAAGAUUGAUGGGAAAUUGGAUCCAGCUGACAAGAAGAAGAUAGAGGACGCCAUUGAAGCUGCUAUCCAGUGGCUUGACUCCAACCAGCUUGCAGAGGCUGAUGAAUUUGAUGAUAAGAUGAAGGAGUUGGAGAGUCUCUGCAACCCAAUUAUUGCAAACAUGUAUCAAGGUGGUGCUUCUGGACCUGACAUGGGUGGCUUUGGUGGAAUGGAUGAGGAUGGUACUUCAAUGGGUGGUGCUGGUAGCACUGGUGCAGGACCUAAGAUUGAGGAAGUUGAUUAAGUGCGGAGGGAUAUGAGUGACUGCUUGGGGUUCUGAAAUUGAUUGAAAAACCAUAUCCUGGGAGAAGAAAUAGUGUACUAGAAUAACACAGAAACUCACCAACGUGUAUCCAUUAGAAGGCCCAAGGAAGCAAAUUCCACAGGUUUGUUUCCUAUUAUUGAGAAGUCUCUUCUGUUGGAAUUAACUUUCUACUUCACUUCCCUGUGCCAUAGGGGGACCAAAACCCUCUCAGCAGUUGUUCCCAUAUCUGACUUGCAAUUUUGCAUUUGGCGGCAAAACAGCUAUUAACUGGUAAUCUUUGCAUGAUCUGAAAAUUUUUUCUGCAAGGAUUUAGCACAUGCCUUAUUAUCGACCAGACAAAAAGAAAAUUUGAACUUCUUUAGCAAACUAAAAGGGGAAAUUGUGCCUCAUGCAAACAAAAGAAAAGCAUCAGAAUAGAUGUAGCCAAAACAGUCGGGGAUGGAAGUCUUGCAACAUCAAAAAGUCAUGCUCUUCAUGGUCUGUUGUUGUGAAUCAAAUACUGACGGAAUCCACACUUUCACUCCUUCCCCAUCCUGUCUUUAAUCGGUUUGCGCAUCUUUUUGCC